GAUGAACGCUGGCGGCGUGCCUAAUACAUGCAAGUCGAGCGAACGGACGAGAAGCUUGCUUCUCUGAUGUUAGCGGCGGACGGGUGAGUAACACGUGGAUAACCUACCUAUAAGACUGGGAUAACUUCGGGAAACCGGAGCUAAUACCGGAUGAUAUUUUGAACCGCAUGGUUCAAAAGUGAAAGACGGUCUUGCUGUCACUUAUAGAUGGAUCCGCGCUGCAUUAGCUAGUUGGUAAGGUAACGGCUUACCAAGGCAACGAUGCAUAGCCGACCUGAGAGGGUGAUCGGCCACACUGGAACUGAGACACGGUCCAGACUCCUACGGGAGGCAGCAGUAGGGAAUCUUCCGCAAUGGGCGAAAGCCUGACGGAGCAACGCCGCGUAAGUGAUGAAGGUCUUCGGAUCGUAAAACUCUGUUAUUAGGGAAGAACAUAUGUGUAAGUAACUGUGCACAUCCUGACGGUACCUAAUCAGAAAGCCACGGCUAACUACGUG
RNAcentral lists this ribosomal RNA (497 nucleotides) under uncultured bacterium. RNAcentral describes it as "partial 16S ribosomal RNA". It matches the Rfam family "Bacterial small subunit ribosomal RNA", at positions 28 to 507 of the family's 1533-position model. The record is from RNAcentral.